This 420-nucleotide ribosomal RNA is filed under the name uncultured bacterium. RNAcentral's name for it is "bacterial SSU rRNA". It matches the Rfam family "Bacterial small subunit ribosomal RNA", at positions 355 to 774 of the family's 1533-position model. The record is from RNAcentral.
UAAGGAAUAUUGCUCAAUGGGAGAAAUCCUGAAGCAGCAACGCCGCGUGGAGGAUGAAGGGUCUAUGACUUGUAAACUCCUGUAAAGAAGGAAAAAAUUCCCAUUUGAUGGGAGAUGAUGGUACUUCUGGAGUAAGCCCCGGCUAACUACGUGCAAGCAGCCGCGGUAAUACGUAGGGGGCAAGCGUUGUCCGGAUUUACUGGGUGUAAAGGGUGCUCAGGCGGAUUUGUAAGUCAGAGGUGAAAUCUUACAGCUUAACUGUGAAACUGCCUUUGAUACUGCAAGCCUAGAGUAUGGAAGAGAGUGAUGGAAUAUCUGGUGUAGCAGUGAAAUGCGUAGAUAUCAGAUAGAACACCAAUGGCGAAGGCAGUCACUUGGUCCAUUACUGACGCUAAAGCACGAAAGCGUGGGUAGCAAACA